AUUCAUUUCUUCCCUGCCUGACUGUUUCCAAAUAGCUGGUUUUCCUGUCAGCUGGCACUCCGGCUAUGAACCGGCUAAUGAAGAGGUUGGCUAAAUCUCCAAAGCUCCUAAUACUUCCGGCUUCCAGACUGUUGAACCACGCCCGUGCUGGCCCCAUGAGCGUCGUAGGGAAUACCUUGCACAUCAAGGCAUCCGAUAGGGUCUGCAGCUCCAUGAAGGUCUUGUAGUUAAGGACAUGCUCCCUUGGGUUUCCAGCUCCGUCGUAUGCUGCCAUAGGUGGCAUCAUGAACUUUUUGGGGAUGGUCUCUUGCUGCACCCAUCUUGAAAAGGGCGAGGAUGC
RNAcentral lists this long non-coding RNA (340 nucleotides) under Manihot esculenta (cassava). Its description in RNAcentral is "long non-coding RNA (MESC_LNC000227)". The record is from RNAcentral. Lineage: Eukaryota; Viridiplantae; Streptophyta; Magnoliopsida; Malpighiales; Euphorbiaceae.